This 1543-nucleotide ribosomal RNA is filed under the name Amblyrhynchus cristatus. Its description in RNAcentral is "16S ribosomal RNA". It matches the Rfam family "Bacterial large subunit ribosomal RNA". The record is from RNAcentral. Lineage: Eukaryota; Metazoa; Chordata; Lepidosauria; Squamata; Iguanidae.
ACCUAAGACUAAGCCCAAACAUCUCCUCAAAACCUCCCCCAACUAAAACAAACCAUUUGCCAAAACAAGUAGAGGCGAUCAAACGUUAACUAAUCUGGCGCUAUAGACAACAGUACCGCAAGGGAAAUGUGAAAAAACAAUGAAAACACAAGUACAACACAGCAGAGACUAGCACUCGUACCUCUUGCAUCAUGGUCCAGCAAGAAACAUACAGGCACGCAGCCACACAGCCUGUAUCCCCGAAACCAAGUGAGCUACCAUCAGGCAGCCCAUAGAGCCAACCCGUCCCUGUAGCAAAAGGGUGGGAAGACCUAAUGGUAGCGGUGAAAAGCCUACCGAACUUGCUGAUAGCUGGUUGCCUGAUAAAUAAACCUAAGUUUAACUUUAGGCUCCGCCCAAACAACAAAUUACAACCUAGAGCCUAAAAGCUAUUCAAUUGGGGUACAGCCCUAUUGAAACAGGAAACAACCUGAAGUAGAGAAGAAAGCCACAACCACCCAACCGUAGGCCCUAAAGCAGCCACCAAUAAACAUCGCGUCACAGCAAACCAACCAAAAAUCCCAACAUCAUACCUAACUUCCUACUCCCCCACCAGGCCAUUCUAUAAAAAUAUAGAAGAAAUCAUGCUAGAACUAGUAACAAGAAACGCUUCUCUCAGCACAACUGUAAAACAGCAAUGGAAAAACCACUGAAAAUUAACAGAGCACAAAUUAACCCCUAUCCCCACCAUAAUAUCCCACAAACUGUUAACCCGACACAGGAGUGCCAAAAAGAAAGAUUAAAAGCCUAAGAAGGAACUCGGCAAGUACUAAUCCCAACUGUUUACCAAAAACAUAGCCUUUAGCCCACACAAGUAUUAAAGGUAACGCCUGCCCAGUGAAACAUUAAACGGCCGCGGUAUCCUAACCGUGCAAAGGUAGCGCAAUCACUUGUCUCCUAAAUAGAGACCAGUAUGAAUGGCUAAAUGAGGAUUAACCUGUCUCCUUAGACCAAUCAGUGAAACUGAUCCGCCAGUACAAAAGCUGGCAUAACCCCAUAAGACGAGAAGACCCUGUGGAGCUUUAGACUAACCAGCCAAACCGGGCCCCACCACCCCCCCCAAUGGCUGAGCAUCUUAAGUUGGGGCGACUUCGGAGCAAAACAAAACCUCCGAGCAAUAGAACAUCAAUCUCCCCGAGGCAGACACGCCAAAGCAAAAAUUGACCCAGUACUACUGACCAUCGAACCAAGUUACCCCAGGGAUAACAGCGCAAUCUUCUUCAAGAGUCCAUAUCGACAAGAAGGUUUACGACCUCGAUGUUGGAUCAGGACACCCAAAUGGUGCAGCCGCUAUUAAUGGUUCGUUUGUUCAACGAUUAACAGUCCUACGUGAUCUGAGUUCAGACCGGAGCAAUCCAGGUCGGUUUCUAUCUAUGACGUCGCUUUCUUCAGUACGAAAGGACCAAGAAAGCAGGACCCAUGCCACAGGUACGUCCUACUUCAUCCGGCUGAAUACCACUCAAGCCUCAAAAAACAAGACCCCCCCCCCCGAAGACACCGGGCU